ACACGUGGUAUCCUGUCUGAAUAUGGGGGGACCAUCCUCCAAGGCUAAAUACUCCUGACUGACCGAUAGUGAACCAGUACCGUGAGGGAAAGGCGAAAAGAACCCCGGCGAGGGGAGUGAAAAAGAACCUGAAACCGUGUACGUACAAGCAGUGGGAGCACGCUUAGGCGUGUGACUGCGUACCUUUUGUAUAAUGGGUCAGCGACUUAUAUUCUGUAGCAAGGUUAACCGAAUAGGGGAGCCGAAGGGAAACCGAGUCUUAACUGGGCGUUAAGUUGCAGGGUAUAGACCCGAAACCCGGUGAUCUAGCCAUGGGCAGGUUGAAGGUUGGGUAACACUAACUGGAGGACCGAACCGACUAAUGUUGAAAAAUUAGCGGAUGACUUGUGGCUGGGGGUGAAAGGCCAAUCAAACCGGGAGAUAGCUGGUUCUCCCCGAAAGCUAUUUAGGUAGCGCCUCGUGAAUUCAUCUCCGGGGGUAGAGCACUGUUUCGGCAAGGGGGUCAUCCCGACUUACCAACCCGAUGCAAACUGCGAAUACCGGAGAAUGUUAUCACGGGAGACACACGGCGGGUGCUAACGUCCGUCGUGAAGAGGGAAACAACCCAGACCGCCAGCUAAGGUCCCAAAGUCAUGGUUAAGUGGGAAACGAUGUGGGAAGGCCCAGACAGCCAGGAUGUUGGCUUAGAAGCAGCCAUCAUUUAAAGAAAGCGUAAUAGCUCACUGGUCGAGUCGGCCUGCGCGGAAGAUGUAACGGGGCUAAACCAUGCACCGAAGCUGCGGCAGCGACACUAUGUGUUGUUGGGUAGGGGAGCGUUCUGUAAGCCUGUGAAGGUGUACUGUGAGGUAUGCUGGAGGUAUCAGAAGUGCGAAUGCUGACAUAAGUAACGAUAAAGCGGGUGAAAAGCCCGCUCGCCGGAAGACCAAGGGUUCCUGUCCAACGUUAAUCGGGGCAGGGUGAGUCGACCCCUAAGGCGAGGCCGAAAGGCGUAGUCGAUGGGAAACAGGUUAAUAUUCCUGUACUUGGUGUUACUGCGAAGGGGGGACGGAGAAGGCUAUGUUGGCCGGGCGACGGUUGUCCCGGUUUAAGCGUGUAGGCUGGUUUUCCAGGCAAAUCCGGAAAAUCAAGGCUGAGGCGUGAUGACGAGGCACUACGGUGCUGAAGCAACAAAUGCCCUGCUUCCAGGAAAAGCCUCUAAGCAUCAGGUAACAUCAAAUCGUACCCCAAACCGACACAGGUGGUCAGGUAGAGAAUACCAAGGCGCUUGAGAGAACUCGGGUGAAGGAACUAGGCAAAAUGGUGCCGUAACUUCGGGAGAA
RNAcentral lists this ribosomal RNA (1319 nucleotides) under Escherichia coli. RNAcentral's name for it is "partial 23S ribosomal RNA". It matches the Rfam family "Bacterial large subunit ribosomal RNA", at positions 422 to 1744 of the family's 2925-position model. The record is from RNAcentral. Lineage: Bacteria; Pseudomonadati; Pseudomonadota; Gammaproteobacteria; Enterobacterales; Enterobacteriaceae.